This 860-nucleotide long non-coding RNA is filed under the name Falco tinnunculus (common kestrel). Its description in RNAcentral is "lncRNA (ENSFTIG00000012681.1)". Lineage: Eukaryota; Metazoa; Chordata; Aves; Falconiformes; Falconidae. The record is from RNAcentral.
UCUUUCCUUUUCCUACCUGUUUGCCUCUAAUAAACAUAAAGGUUCUAAUUUCCUUUGUACUCUAGCACACUAGAAAUUAAUGGAAUAAAUGCACAUGCUGUUUUUCUUUGCCAGAGACUGGCUUAUACAACAGAUUUUUACUCUGUAAGACAGAUUUUGCUGUAUUUGUGCUUUUUUCAUCUCCCCCUGAGGAGUAUUAACUCAAAGCAAUCACAAGACACCCACCCUUCCCUGCUGCUUCUUGAACUGCUAUAUUCUCUUCUUUGCUUCUUGCUUCUUGCUUCUCAAUUUGAAGCUCUUUUUUUUUUUUUAAAGAGGAAAGAGCAACAACCAAAAAAUCCUUUCCUGAAAUCAUAAUUAUUUGAUGUGAGAAAGCUUAAACAUGUAAAACACUUUUGUUCACAUAGAAUUCACUCUCAAAAACUGUGUUCUUUCUAUUGAAAUUGAAAUAGGUAGUGUGUUCUGUAAAGUACAUUAUUGGAAAAGGAAGACAUGUACACGCUUGGAAAAUGCUGAGCUGCUUGUGAAGCUAUAGACACUGCGUGUUUAUGACUUGGUUUUCUAAGCAAUCUCCAGAGCUUGAACGGAUUACAGUGAUAUUUUAACAAGGCUGCUGGCAUCCAUCACCAGCUUUCACUUACUGAGAAAGCUAAAAGAUGGAAGAAUGUAAUUAUUUCCAGGUAACCUAAAUGUUAGUGGCUGAUUGUCACAAGAACUUUGAUGCUUUAAACUUCUUUGUCUCCUGUAAAGCAGACAGUCCCUCUGAUGACACCACGAAUCUGGGAAUGAAGAACUUCUCAGAGCUGAUUGGAAAUGGCAUUGCAGAGCUGAAACUUAACUGGAGGAAAUAUAUCUCCUGA